This 467-nucleotide long non-coding RNA is filed under the name Theobroma cacao (cacao). RNAcentral's name for it is "long non-coding RNA (TCAC_LNC002093)". Lineage: Eukaryota; Viridiplantae; Streptophyta; Magnoliopsida; Malvales; Malvaceae. The record is from RNAcentral.
AACAUACUAUUACAUAAUACGAACAAAAAUCAUAGUGUCAUAGAAGCCCUAGGAAUCCCUUUCAUUAGCUUCCAUUGCUGACCACUCCAUCCCACGGAUUCAAUCACAGGUUUCCUAUUCUCUUCAGCUUCCUCGAAACAGUAAACAGGUGCCUGCCAGUGGGAAUCCCCCAGGACUGCUCCCACUUCAAAGGUCAUAACAUGAGCUGUGUACCCUACACGCUCAAAAAAGAUUUCCAAAAUCAAAAUCAAGCAUAACAGAUGUUAUGAAUAUUGCUCGAAGUUAAUACCAUACCUGUAUAGAACGCCCAGUAAACAGGUCUCUUAGUGAUGACAUCCUCGUAGUACCGAAUGAAGUCGACCUUCUCCCACACAUUGCAUAGGAAACCAUCUUUUUCUUGUUGGCCUAAAUAAUUGGCUCCAUCCAGCCAAUUCGGGCGGAGAAUGCCGACAGGAAAAUGCAAGACU